UACGGAGGGUGCAAGCGUUAAUCGGAAUUACUGGGCGUAAAGCGCACGCAGGCGGUUUGUUAAGUCAGAUGUGAAAUCCCCGGGCUCAACCUGGGAACUGCAUUUGAAACUGGCAAGCUUGAGUCUUGUAGAGGGGGGUAGAAUUCCAGGUGUAGCGGUGAAAUGCGUAGAGAUCUGGAGGAAUACCGGUGGCGAAGGCAGCCCCCUGGGCCAAUACUGACGCUCAUGCACGAAAGCGUGGGGAGCAAACAGG
Molecule: ribosomal RNA, 253 nt
Filed under: uncultured bacterium
Lineage: Bacteria
Description: partial 16S ribosomal RNA
Rfam family: Bacterial small subunit ribosomal RNA
Source: RNAcentral